GCCGGUGUGGCGGAAUUGGCAGACGCGCGCGACUCAAAAUCGCGUUCCCUAAAGGAGUGGGGGUUCGAGUCCCUUCACCGGCA
Molecule: transfer RNA, 83 nt
Filed under: Tepidibacillus decaturensis
Lineage: Bacteria; Bacillati; Bacillota; Bacilli; Caryophanales; Bacillaceae
Also listed under: 1 other name
Rfam family: tRNA
About the family: Transfer RNA (tRNA) molecules are approximately 80 nucleotides in length. Their secondary structure includes four short double-helical elements and three loops (D, anti-codon, and T loops).
Source: Rfam by way of RNAcentral